Molecule: long non-coding RNA, 321 nt
Organism: Xenia sp. Carnegie-2017
Lineage: Eukaryota; Metazoa; Cnidaria; Anthozoa; Malacalcyonacea; Xeniidae
Exons: 3
Source: RefSeq, a predicted model, not a curated record
CUGUACCCGAUCAGUAUCCCGUUCCACAUCUUCAGGAUUUCUCUGCCAAUCUCCACGAUCAAAAACAUGUAUAAUGUGUUAAACAAUGGAUCAUUCGAUGAAUACAGAUAUUUCAAACACCAAGUCAGAUCAUUAAAGUUCAUACAGAAAGACCUGAUUGAUUAUAGAAAUUGCCCUCUUUGCCCACAAUUCAGUAUUUGAUUUCUUUUUUUGUACUAUUUGCUUUGUGAACUAUUUUAAAUUAUAUGUUUUUUGUCACAUAUAUUAUCAGAACAUUUAAAGUUGUUGUGAAAUAUGAAGUGUUACAUGUUUACCAUAAAA